GGCGGACGGGUGAGUAAUGCCUAGGAAUCUGCCUGGUAGUGGGGGACAACGUUUCGAAAGGAACGCUAAUACCGCAUACGUCCUACGGGAGAAAGCAGGGGACCUUCGGGCCUUGCGCUAUCAGAUGAGCCUAGGUCGGAUUAGCUAGUUGGUGAGGUAAUGGCUCACCAAGGCGACGAUCCGUAACUGGUCUGAGAGGAUGAUCAGUCACACUGGAACUG
RNAcentral lists this ribosomal RNA (221 nucleotides) under Pseudomonas sp. RNAcentral's name for it is "partial 16S ribosomal RNA". It matches the Rfam family "Bacterial small subunit ribosomal RNA", at positions 97 to 321 of the family's 1533-position model. Lineage: Bacteria; Pseudomonadati; Pseudomonadota; Gammaproteobacteria; Pseudomonadales; Pseudomonadaceae. The record is from RNAcentral.